UGGGCAACCUGCCCUCAGCUCUGGGAUAACUCCGGGGAACCGGGGCUAAUACCGGAUACGACCUUCCCUCGCAUGGGGGUUGGUGGAAAGUUCUUCGGCUGAGGAUGGGCCCGCGGCCUAUCAGCUUGUUGGUGGGGUGAUGGCCUACCAAGGCGACGACGGGUAGCCGGCCUGAGAGGGCGACCGGCCACACUGGGACUGAGACACGGCCCAGACUCCUACGGGAGGCA
This 230-nucleotide ribosomal RNA is filed under the name uncultured bacterium. RNAcentral's name for it is "partial 16S ribosomal RNA". It matches the Rfam family "Bacterial small subunit ribosomal RNA", at positions 118 to 350 of the family's 1533-position model. The record is from RNAcentral.